This 210-nucleotide ribosomal RNA is filed under the name Triticum aestivum (bread wheat). RNAcentral's name for it is "partial small subunit ribosomal RNA". Lineage: Eukaryota; Viridiplantae; Streptophyta; Magnoliopsida; Poales; Poaceae. The record is from RNAcentral.
AUGGCCCGUGGAGUGGACCCUGGCUGGGUUUGUGGCGCCGCCGCCGCGUGGGCUAGCUGCGUCGGGGGGCAGGAAGGAGGCGGCGAGUGCGGAAACGGCUCGACAUGGCGCAGCGACAUUGGGAGGACGAUGAGGAGGAACGGACGGAUACGAGGGACGAACGGGGGUCCCUGGGCGGGGUCGCCUCGCCGUCUUCGGCGGCCGUGGUGA